UAAUUCUGACCUUCAGUUGCUACCAGUCCACUCAGUCCAGGCCCGGUGAGGCGAGUACAGAUAGUCAUAAAAAAACAACAACUUGUAAAGGUCAAAAUUCAAGGUCUGCUGCUCAUUACUAAGAAAUAGCACCAGAAACCCUCCUCGUUUGCAUAAAACAUUUCGUGCUGAGACCUGAAACGUCCUGAAAACAAAGGCAAGUUUAACCUCCAGGCAAACAUCAAGAAGGGAAAACUGCCUCCAAAGGAUAUUCCCUGUAAAGAUAACACACUGCGUGGGAACGUCUAUAUGAAGAAGACAGGAGCACCAUAAAGCUCAGUUCCAUCAGUGUUGUGAAACACCUCUCCCCAUUUCUUCAGAUAGUCUUGAUACUCAAAGACUUCUUCUUGCCACUGGAUUUGUGACAUGCAAAGGAUUGCUGUCUGUAAAGCCACUCAGCCCUCGUGAAAAAACAAAGCCUGUUCUGUCCUUGCAUUAGCAGACAGUCUGAUGCAUAAACUUCUGUAAGCACUGUUCUUUUGUUAUUAUUUGCAGAAGCUGCAAUAAGUCUCUUAUGUAUCUUCCAAGCCUUGGCCAUGAAGAAAUAGUUACCCUACCUGUUGGCCAAACAGCUGCUGUAAUUUGAUUCCUGCUCUUUUCUUUUUGGUUCCUGUUCUCCUGGAGAAUCACUAGUUCUUGCUGAAAUUUGUAUUGUGCCUGUUUUUGUUAAUUCAUCAGAUGCCAAUGAACUGGUUCCUCAUUCUGUUUGACCAGCUGUUUCAUAUAAUCUGUUGUUACAACUGGAUUUAAAAAUCUCCCAGGAGGAGCGUAAUAACUCAAAUGUGUCAGAUCUGCAGUAAUUCAUGAAAGAUGCUUAGUAUGUGGAAAUCCACAUUUCUUAAAUGCAAGGAUCAAGAUAUCAGCCCUAUUGUCGAAACCAAGAUGGGACUUUCAAUGUAACCCACUUGUCACUUACAAUUCCCCUGUUCCCCUUCAUAUUACUGUGUAGCCUAAAUUUUUCUGUGUUUGCCCUGUCCACAGCUCAAUAUAUUUCCUUUUAAGAGAGAAAAAAAAUCUGUUCAGAUAGAACCAAAUGAUCAGAACAAUUAAGAAAAUCACUCAGAUCCUCUUUGUACGUGUGUAACUCAAGAAAUGUUUUGUUUAAAGUCACACAUUUGGCAUGUGUCUAAGAGGAAUGUGCAGUUUGCAUUGAUAUAAGAAAUAUGGUAAUGAAUGUUUGAACAUUUUCUACUUUGUAAUUUGUAAUUGUCUUCACUGGUUUAGCAAUAAGUAUAUAAGUAUAAUGUUGAGAAGGUUUUUAGUUAUAGUAAUUUGACUGCAACACAGCCCCUUUUGUUAUCUUACUUGACUUAGGAAUUACAUAAGAUGUCAUUUGGAAACCACUGUCUAGCAUUAUACAAAGUCAAAUGCAUAUACCGUGAAGAGAGCCUCAACAUUUUCUUUAUAAAAGCUAUGGCUCAGUGCCUUUUCCCUGCGGCACAUUCUCACCUGCUAAACAGCUCCAUUUAAAAUAGUUCAUACUAAUAGGCAUAAACUACAAUGUGCAAAAACAGAUUUUCAACUUUAUUCUGGUACUUACGAGAAAUAUAGUUAAGUGUAAUCAGAGAGACAGCAAUCGGUUCUUUCAUUAAAAAAAAAAAAAAAAAGAGUAAUUCCCUGAUAAUAUAAAGCAGUAUUGCAUCACUGAAUCCUGAGUUCCAUCACUUUAGACUUAGGAUUCUACUGGUCUCAAUAUAUGUGGUACCACUCAGCAUUCACAGCUUGGUAGCAUGAUGGCAGUGGAGAUCCCUGUAUUGCAAAGUUGGACUCACAGGCUGGCUUAAAGCACACUUCUCAUCCAUGCUAAAUGGACAUAGAAUCAUAGAAUCACAGAACCAUUUGAGUUGGAAAGGACUCCUAAAGGCCACCUGGUCCAACUCCCCUGCAAUGAGCAGGGACACCUACAGCUCCAUCAGGUGCUCAGAGCCCCAUCCAUCCUGACCUUGAGUAUCUCCAGGGAUGGAGCAUCCACUGUCUCUCUGGUCAACCUGUCUCAUGCCCUUCUUGGAGAAACCACACUUGGGCUGUUUGUUUGAUACCUGGCCUGUGAUAUGCUUUGUACUUCUGCAUACAGCUAGCUCACUGAAAGAAGAAUGUGGGCUCCAGCUCCAGCCACUGACCUUCAAACUCUUCUGCUUUAGGGAGUCAGAAGUCCACCUCUGCUGCCAUGUGUAUGCAAACAGUGUGGGCAGAGGGCAAGACUAGACUUCAGAACAGACUCCAAGCCAGAGAGCAACACAGAGACUGAUACUGGCUCUUCAGUCAUAUGAGACUCCUCGGGCAACGCUGGAUGAUUGGAGAAGCAGAACUUUUAUUAGCAUACCCAGGGGCCGGCCAGCUGGAUGCUAUGUUUGACACUGUUCUCACACGGGAGGAGGUUAUCAGGAAGAAGAAAUGAAGUACAUAAGCUGAGUCCCCAUAAAGACCUGCACAGUACAGCCUAACAAAAGAUGCGAAUAUGACGUAAUUCAUGUUCAGAAAGUUCCCCUGCAGGAUGGAGGGCUGUCAUUUUUUCC
Molecule: long non-coding RNA, 2555 nt
Organism: Tympanuchus pallidicinctus (lesser prairie-chicken)
Lineage: Eukaryota; Metazoa; Chordata; Aves; Galliformes; Phasianidae
Exons: 4
Source: RefSeq, a predicted model, not a curated record